AAAGAUCUCAAGCUGGAGAAUUUAAUGCCAGCAAAGGAUGGUUUGAUAAUUUUCAACAGAGGUUUGGCUUUAGAAAUGUAAAGAUAACAUGAGAAGCAGCUUUUACCUACCAAGAGGCAGCAGGAUCAACACCUCUAGAGGAGAGAAAGAAGCAGGACUGGACAGCAGGAGAGUCAUGUUCCGAUGCAGUUACAAUGAAAGCCUCAGCCAACCCCGGAGAGCUCUAAAGCUGGAAUGCCCUUCCCAGUUCUGAGUUGAAAGCAGGAAGCUGAGCCUUAACCUUCCUAUAUCACGUGGUCAUUCCAUGACAGAGGGUGUAAUCUUGGAAAGGGUGGCUCUCUUCAACUAAGGACAAUCCAGGGGAAGGACUCACAUGCAAGAUCUCAGCCACCAAGACUCCCAGCAGCUUUACUGUCUCCGUCCUGAGGGGAUGAAUCUGUGUACCCCAGCAUCCACCAACACAAAUACAGAUUUGGAUUAGAUAACCUCUCAUAGUCCAGCCUGAGUGGGGUGGAUUUAUGGCCUUCGACCC
This 532-nucleotide long non-coding RNA is filed under the name Pan troglodytes (chimpanzee). Its description in RNAcentral is "long non-coding RNA NONPTRT013291". The record is from RNAcentral. Lineage: Eukaryota; Metazoa; Chordata; Mammalia; Primates; Hominidae.